CAGCCGCCGCGGUAAUACAGAGGCCCCAAGCGUUGUUCGGAUUCAUUGGGCGUAAAGGGUGCGUAGGCGGUUCCGUAAGUCGGAUGUGAAAUCCUGGGGCUCAACCCCAGAACUGCAUCCGAUACUGCGGGGCUAGAGGACUGGAGAGGAGAGUGGAAUUCACGGUGUAGCAGUGAAAUGCGUAGAUAUCGUGAGGAAGACCAGCGGCGAAGGCGGCUCUCUGGACAGUUCCUGACGCUGAUGCACGAAGGCCAGGGGAGCAAACGGGAUUAGAUACCCGUGUAGUCCCUGUCUCUUAUAC
RNAcentral lists this ribosomal RNA (301 nucleotides) under uncultured bacterium. RNAcentral's name for it is "partial 16S ribosomal RNA". It matches the Rfam family "Bacterial small subunit ribosomal RNA", at positions 509 to 807 of the family's 1533-position model. The record is from RNAcentral.